This 425-nucleotide ribosomal RNA is filed under the name uncultured bacterium. RNAcentral's name for it is "partial 16S ribosomal RNA". It matches the Rfam family "Bacterial small subunit ribosomal RNA", at positions 354 to 796 of the family's 1533-position model. The record is from RNAcentral.
GUGGGGAAUCUUAGACAAUGGGCGCAAGCCUGAUCUAGCCAUGCCGCGUGGACGAUGAAGGCCUUAGGGUUGUAAAGUCCUUUCGCUGGGGAAGAUAAUGACGGUACCCAGUAAAGAAGCCCCGGCUAACUCCGUGCCAGCAGCCGCGGUAAUACGGAGGGGGCUAGCGUUGUUCGGAAUUACUGGGCGUAAAGCGCGCGUAGGCGGAUCGGAAAGUUGGGGGUGAAAUCCCGGGGCUCAACCUCGGAACUGCCUUCAAAACUCCCGGUCUUGAGUUCGAGAGAGGUGAGUGGAAUUCCGAGUGUAGAGGUGAAAUUCGUAGAUAUUCGGAGGAACACCAGUGGCGAAGGCGGCUCACUGGCUCGAUACUGACGCUGAGGUGCGAAAGCGUGGGGAGCAAACAGGAUUAGAAACCCUAGUAGUCC